UAAACAAGCAAUUACUUCUCUUCGCACUGUCCUAAGUACCUCAUGCUUCAUUCAAACAUCCUUUAUAGUCUAUAUUAUGCCUUUCCUUAUCCAAUCAUCUCCAGUUUAACCACUCAUCGAUCAUUGAUUCAUUGCGAGAAAACGAGAUAUUUGCCACAAAAUAAAACGAAGGUUUACUUCUUUUGUUUUUUAUCAGAAUUUUAUAUUAUUAUAUUAUUAUGCACUUACGUUUUACUUUUUAUGCAUUAUUAUUUUACAUUAUCGUAUAAGACAUAUUAGCAUUUGAUGCACGGCUAUAGAUGAAAACGAUGUACCACAAUAAGCAUAAAAUUAGGAAAAAACUAAAAUCAUAAGAUUGGUAAAGAACUAAAAUUUACACGUUCUGAAUGCAGAAAUAUAAUUGGAGCUAACUCGAAACUAUUUCUUCCUGUCUCCUUCAAAUGUAUUGUAUGUAUCUAACGUUUAAUAAUUACGAGUUAAUUUUCACUAGCAGUAGUAAAUAUAUGUUAUAAUAACUAAUAGUUAAUAAAUAAUACUAAAAAUAUAAUGUAAAACAUUUUACAUUUUGAAUUUUCACUGCAAUUAUUAACUGAAGUAUUUGUGGUUCUUCAGAUUUCGAUCGUACAUUUAAUAUUGCUUGCAUUAUGUUCGGAUAUUUCGUGAUCAUUGCAGUUCACUUCUCGCUGUCAGACUUGAACAUAUCGAUUCUCCGGAGAAGUGAACCGAAUGUCCGCGAAACAUUAGAAUAAAGCGCAAAGCACCACUAAAAACACGAUCAAAAUGCAAACAACUACAAAUAUUCAUAUGUCAUCAAUAUAGAUUUAUUACACAUGUUAUUUAAGAUCAAAUUUAAAUUUAAUAAUAAUCAUAUAACGUUUGAAUUGGUAUUACAGAUGCUCUUGCUUGAAACUAUAAACAUGUGAAUUUGCAAAUAAUUGUUCCAGUCCAAAAUUUAAAUUGCCUCUAUAGAAUACGUCUAUAUCAAUAGAUGUUCUUAGAUUUUCGAUUUAUAAUACACAAUGCAAUCAGUGGCUGCAAAAAGUAUUUGCACAUUGUAUUUAUAAUGGAAUUAUAUACUUAAUUAAUUAAGUCCGGGUAUAUUAAAUUUCGUAUCAUUUGAUAGUAUUAUAGGUACUUUUAUGUAACUACAAAAAUUUGUUACUAUGAGAAUGAAAUAGAGAACCUGAUAAUAGAACGCUUUAUUGGAAAAUGAGGAUAUGUGUAAAAGUACGUUUCGUAAGCACUGUAUAUCGUUUUCAGCUGCUAUAUAAACGCAAUAAACGCAGAAAGGACAAAUCCAGCAGGCAGAUCCACUAUCUGGCGCAGAACAGAACUAUACGUCAAUCGAGUGAUGGAGCAGCGGUUUGGUUAUAAUUGGAUCAGUUUAGUUAGGUAUUGCAAAUAUUGGCAGCCAGGGAAGCUGGCGACCCAGUGAUGAAACCUAAUUGGUGUUGGUGUACGUGAAAAUGAAAAUGGAGGUUGGGGAAUUCGUUCGAGCGACUGGUUUAAUUGGACUGCAAUGUUGCGAUGGGACGCGACUACGCGACGUCCAAAUUGCAUUGGAAGAGGAACGGACCGGCCACGGACCACGAGAGGGGAAUGAUGAUGAGAGAUACCAGAGAAGGGGAUAAUUAGAAUUACCUAAACAAGGGAAUAGUGAAGAAGAAGCAACCAUAAAAUACAUAAUUACAAAACAUACAAACGAAUACACUUAAGAGUAUGAUGUAAAUCAAUGUAAAUACAAAUUUGGCAGAAAUUUAACACAGACUUCUAAUAAAUUUUGAUUUUGAUUGAAUACUUUAACACAAACUAUUUCGAAGACUUUUUAUAUUUUAUUGAAAUCAAAUAGUAUUUAGAAUGAUUAAAAUGCAGAUAUAGAAUCUUAAAUAAUUGUAAGAAGAAUUCUAAAAUAUACUUCCAUCGUUGCACGUAACGACGCAUGGUUUUGUAAUA
Molecule: long non-coding RNA, 1953 nt
Organism: Bombus huntii
Lineage: Eukaryota; Metazoa; Arthropoda; Insecta; Hymenoptera; Apidae
Exons: 2
Source: RefSeq, a predicted model, not a curated record